Molecule: ribosomal RNA, 1119 nt
Filed under: Enterobacter hormaechei
Lineage: Bacteria; Pseudomonadati; Pseudomonadota; Gammaproteobacteria; Enterobacterales; Enterobacteriaceae
Also listed under: 1 other name
Description: partial 23S ribosomal RNA
Rfam family: Bacterial large subunit ribosomal RNA
Source: RNAcentral
AUACCAGCUGGCUGCAACUGUUUAUUAAAAACACAGCACUGUGCAAACACGAAAGUGGACGUAUACGGUGUGACGCCUGCCCGGUGCCGGAAGGUUAAUUGAUGGGGUUAGCGGCAACGCGAAGCUCUUGAUCGAAGCCCCGGUAAACGGCGGCCGUAACUAUAACGGUCCUAAGGUAGCGAAAUUCCUUGUCGGGUAAGUUCCGACCUGCACGAAUGGCGUAAUGAUGGCCAGGCUGUCUCCACCCGAGACUCAGUGAAAUUGAACUCGCUGUGAAGAUGCAGUGUACCCGCGGCAAGACGGAAAGACCCCGUGAACCUUUACUAUAGCUUGACACUGAACACUGGUCCUUGAUGUGUAGGAUAGGUGGGAGGCUUUGAAGCGUGGACGCCAGUCUGCGUGGAGCCAUCCUUGAAAUACCACCCUUUAAUGGCUGGUGUUCUAACGUAGACCCGUAAUCCGGGUUGCGGACAGUGUCUGGUGGGUAGUUUGACUGGGGCGGUCUCCUCCCAAAGAGUAACGGAGGAGCACGAAGGUUGGCUAAUCCUGGUCGGACAUCAGGAGGUUAGUGCAAUGGCAUAAGCCAGCUUGACUGCGAGCGUGACGGCGCGAGCAGGUGCGAAAGCAGGUCAUAGUGAUCCGGUGGUUCUGAAUGGAAGGGCCAUCGCUCAACGGAUAAAAGGUACUCCGGGGAUAACAGGCUGAUACCGCCCAAGAGUUCAUAUCGACGGCGGUGUUUGGCACCUCGAUGUCGGCUCAUCACAUCCUGGGGCUGAAGUAGGUCCCAAGGGUAUGGCUGUUCGCCAUUUAAAGUGGUACGCGAGCUGGGUUUAGAACGUCGUGAGACAGUUCGGUCCCUAUCUGCCGUGGGCGCUGGAGAAUUGAGGGGGGCUGCUCCUAGUACGAGAGGACCGGAGUGGACGCAUCACUGGUGUUCGGGUUGUCAUGCCAAUGGCACUGCCCGGUAGCUAAAUGCGGAAGAGAUAAGUGCUGAAAGCAUCUAAGCACGAAACUUGCCCCGAGAUGAGUUCUCCCUGAGACUUUAAGUCUCCUGAAGGAACGUUGAAGACGACGACGUUGAUAGGUCGGGUGUGUAAGCGCAGCGAUGCGUUGAGCUAA